CAUACCUUCUGAUGGCAUACCUUCUCAUGGCAUACCUUCUGAUGGCAUACCUUCUGAUGGCAUACCUUCUCAUCGCAUACCUUCUCAUGGCAUACCUUCUCAUGGCAUGAUGGCAUACCUUCUCAUGGCAUACCUUCUCAUGGCAUACCUUCUCAUGGCAUACCUUCUCAUGGCAUACCUUCUCAUGGCAUACCUUCUCAUGGCACACCUUCUCAUGGCAUACCUUCUGAUGGCAUACCUUCUCAUGGCAUACCUUCUGAUGGCAUACCUUCUCAUGGCAUACCUUCUCAUGGCAUACCUUCUGAUGGCAUACCUUCUCAUGGCAUACCUUCUGAUGGCAAUUUCAACAGGAUAUAGAAAUCUCUCCGCAUAGAUCAUAUUAUCCUUAGUUUCAGUUAUUCCCAAUGGGCCGGCAAUGUUAAUAAAAUAGUCAUUAAAGAUCUAAGUCUUUAAUAUCUAAGUUUUCGUAAUAAUCAAAUUUGGUUUGUCGCAAGAUUUUACACAUAAGUACCAGUGGCGUAGCGUCCGGGUAUUCAAGGUAUUCAGUGAAUACCCUGAGAUUUCUCAGAAAAAAUAUUAAUACGACGUAUAAUUGUAAUAACUAAAAAAUGUUUUGGGGCCAUUGAUUCUGGUUGAAAUCGUUACCUUCGAUAUUCUACAUUUUGUACUAGUACAAAAUAUCACGAAAUUCAUGGAAACAAUAACGCUGCGAAGCAUAGAGAAGCUGGGAGAACUUUGAAGCUAAUUUUGAAGAUUGAGUUACUUCAUGUUGAAUGGAGAUAGGUCAUGAAUACGCAGUGAAUACCCUAGACGGUUCUUUAACCAAUCAAAAUGCUCCUUUCCAUGAAUAAUAUUUGCCGUUAAUCAGCUAAAACAAUGGUCUUGUACGCUAAGAAAUAUGCAGCGUACAGCCUCAAAGUUGGUUCAAAAUAGUCUCGUUUUGAGAUCGAUAUAAACAGUUAAUGGACGUCGGAGCGGUUGGAGUGGUGGAUCUUCAUCGAAAACAGUAAACAUGACUUCAUUCAAAGCUAUUGCAAUGUCCGUAUUACUGUUUAAUAAUCAUUCUCUCAUUUGACCCCUAAUCUUAACCUACCAACAGCAAAGUGGAAAGGAAAGGUAUCAAGAGAAGGUGUUUACAGUUACUUCCUCUUUACAUCAGUGCAAAUUUUAGAGGAUUCAACAACAACUAUUGGGACAUAUUUCGACUAGCAAAAUUUUACUGACUUUCAAUGAUACAUUUUGAUUUGAAUUACAUUUGAUGAAAUGGUUAGUGGUAUUUUGAUGCAAUGAAUGAGUUCGAACAGUAUAUUAGCGUUGAGUUUUUUAGCAAAGUAUCGUUUUCAUCAUAGUAAUGCCCUGAUAGUGCAGUACUUGCCAACCGAACCAGAAAGAAAAUUAGAUAAAUUGUCAAUAGCUAGUCCCUUUAAUCUUCCUAUUAUCCCUCCUAUUUCCAUCAAGCCCCAUCAAGCCACACCCUGCCCCACCCUUUUGUUUAAUAGAGCAUACCCAGUUGAAAAAGUCACGCUACGCCACUGAUAAGUACCCAUAUGCGCUGCGGUUAUAUGCGAUUCUUACAUUUGUUACGCAGCUUUGAUCGAAGCAUUGUCCUUUUUGUUAGGGUUUUUGUCAUGAUGACGAGUGCGUGUUCACCUCUGGUUUUGAAUACUCAGUUUCCCCAUUAUUCAUGUUACAAAGACUUUCCAUGAGCGCCUGUUGGAUCUAUUUUCAUCGAAUUUGCGAUAAUCUCCUUUUAGGGGCCCCUUUAAACGAAACUACUUUUCAAUAUAGUAACAAUCGUUGAAAAAAGUCCGAUACUCCCGUUUCAACUGUACAUGAGUUUUAAAAGAGGAAGAUUUAUCUGUAAGAAUCAAAUCAAUGCAUCUGGGAUUAUCUGACUUAAAACAUGUAGGAACAUUGCUUCCGUAUCAAAAUCGCCUAGAAUU
This is a non-coding RNA of Rhopilema esculentum, 1943 nucleotides long. The record is from RefSeq and is a predicted model, not a curated record. Lineage: Eukaryota; Metazoa; Cnidaria; Scyphozoa; Rhizostomeae; Rhizostomatidae.